RNAcentral lists this ribosomal RNA (228 nucleotides) under Compsopogon caeruleus. RNAcentral describes it as "partial Eukaryotic large subunit ribosomal RNA". It matches the Rfam family "Eukaryotic large subunit ribosomal RNA", at positions 212 to 436 of the family's 3401-position model. The record is from RNAcentral. Lineage: Eukaryota; Rhodophyta; Compsopogonophyceae; Compsopogonales; Compsopogonaceae.
GUGAAAAUCCCGUACUUGCCAUGGAAGUACCGUGCUUUGUGAUACACGCUCCAAGAGUCGAGUAGUUUGGGAUUGCUGCUCAAAGUGGGUGGUAGACUCCAUCUAAAGCUAAAUAUCGGGGAGAGACCGAUAGCGAACAAGUACCGUGAGGGAAAGAUGAAAAGCACUUUGGAAAGAGAGUUAAAAGUACGUGAAAUUGUCGAAAGGGAAGCACUUGAAGUCAGCCAU